GGGGAUAUGGCGAAAUUGGUAGACGCUACGGACUUAAAAAUCCGUCGACUUAGAAUUCGUG
This 61-nucleotide transfer RNA is filed under the name Passiflora telesiphe. RNAcentral describes it as "partial tRNA-Leu". Lineage: Eukaryota; Viridiplantae; Streptophyta; Magnoliopsida; Malpighiales; Passifloraceae. The record is from RNAcentral.